Molecule: ribosomal RNA, 406 nt
Filed under: uncultured bacterium
Lineage: Bacteria
Description: partial 16S ribosomal RNA
Rfam family: Bacterial small subunit ribosomal RNA
Source: RNAcentral
AUUGAACGCUGGCGGCCGGCCUAACACAUGCAAGUCGAACGAGCGGCGGACGGGUGAGUAAUGUCUGGGAAACUGCCUGAUGGAGGGGGAUAACUACUGGAAACGGUAGCUAAUACCGCAUACCAUCAGAUGUGCCCAGAUGGGAUUAGCUAGUAGGUGGGGUAACGGCUCACCUAGGCGACGAUCCCUAGCUGGUCUGAGAGGAUGACCAGCCACACUGGAACUGAGACACGGUCCAGACUCGUACGGGAGGCAGGAGUGGGGAAUAUUGCACAAUGGACGAAAGACUGAUGCAGCAAUGCCGCGUGUGUGAAGAAGGCUUUCGGGUUGUAAAGCACUUUCAGCGGGGAGGCGUUAUCCGCAGAAGAAGCACCUGCUAACUCCGUGCCAGCAGCCGCGGUAAUAC